ACCCGCGCCUUCUCUUUUCUUCCCCGUCGAACCCAAGCCCUAACCUCAAUCGAGUGGUUUCUCCUCUCCUUUUCCUCACCGAGCCCUUCUCUUGAUUCUUCCUCAUCCAUUCCGAGCAGCGUCACAGAUCUCUGCUCUAGCCUCUCUACCGUCGCACACCGCCGCCCCUCUCGUGCGACACCAAGCCAACCGGCCGCCGAUCAUCAGCCACUGGACGCCGGAGCUUUACCCUUUUCUCUUGGAUUUCUCUCCUCUGUUUCGGCCAGAAUCUCUUCUCUACCCUAGCGCCGGCAGACGGCUGCACCUUUGCUGCGACUUGGCAGCACAACCGCCGCCCGAGCCCUAGUUUGAUUCAUCGUCGCCCCUUCUUCCCUAUCAAAGUGUAGCCUCGGUAUGGGCUGGGCUUCGGCCAAGAGGAAGGAUUCAUGCACUAGCCUUGGUUAGUCGUCGUUCCUUCCUCCCUUUUUUCUUGCAGCAGAACGCCACAAUCCACCCUGACAGCAUCGUGGAUUCCUCGGCACCUAAGGAGAUUUGAUUUGGAGGGAUCAACAGCCACACUGGUUUUCUUCGGUCACAUUUUUCCAGCAACAAACAACCUUCAUCUAGCACCUUACUUUAUUUCAGUAGCCACAGCGACUGUGAAUUGAGGUGGUUGUCGACAGAAACUUUAGGGCAGUGAGGUGGAUUUCCAACGGCCCACCUUGUUUAUGGUUGUGAGUCAUCAGCGAAGUAUCCUGCUACCGAUGAUCACAUUGGAGCUUCACUUGGUCUCGACCACUGUUACUAAUGUGAGGAUGCUCCGGUAGUGAGGCAGCAUUAGGGUGCAUUGGCAUUGGGACUUUGAUUCAAAAUGGGCGCCUCGACGUAGGAUUUCUGGAUACGAUAUUCUUUUGAGGCGGGUACCUCUUGACUUAUCUUUUAUGAUAUUGUCAAUUGGAUAUGUAUAAUAUUUUAUAGCUACAAGCAAUGAUCAUGUCUGUCUUUGGUAUGUCACGGCUUGAUACCCAUAGCAGUGUUGUGUUUUGGCUUUGGUACAGCCGAGUGGGCUGCUUUACAUAUA
Long non-coding RNA from Zingiber officinale, 1060 nucleotides. RefSeq lists it as uncharacterized. The record is from RefSeq and is a predicted model, not a curated record. The transcript has 4 exons. Lineage: Eukaryota; Viridiplantae; Streptophyta; Magnoliopsida; Zingiberales; Zingiberaceae.